CCUAUAUGACUGAGUGGCGGACGGGUGAGUAACGCGUGGGGAACCUGCCCUAUACAGGGGGAUAACAGCUGGAAACGGCUGCUAAUACCGCAUAAGCGCACAGAAUCGCAUGAUUCAGUGUGAAAAGCCCUGGCAGUAUAGGAUGGUCCCGCGUCUGAUUAGCUGGUUGGUGAGGUAACGGCUCACCAAGGCGACGAUCAGUAGCCGGCUUGAGAGAGUGAACGGCCACAUUGGGACUGAGACACGGCCCAAACUCCUACGGGAGGCAGCAGUGGGGAAUAUUGCACAAUGGGGGAAACCCUGAUGCAGCGACGCCGCGUGAGUGAAGAAGUAUUUCGGUAUGUAAAGCUCUAUCAGCAGGGAAGAAAACAGACGGUACCUGACUAAGAAGCCCCGGCUAACUACGUGCCAGCAGCCGCGGUAAUACGUAGGGGGCAAGCGUUAUCCGGAAUUACUGGGUGUAAAGGGUGCGUAGGUGGCAUGGUAAGUCAGAAGUGAAAGCCCGGGGCUUAACCCCGGGACUGCUUUUGAAACUGUCAUGCUGGAGUGCAGGAGAGGUAAGCGGAAUUCCUAGUGUAGCGGUGAAUGCGUAGAUAUUAGGAGGACACCAGUGGCGAAGGCGGCUUACUGGACUGUCACUGACACUGAUGC
RNAcentral lists this ribosomal RNA (651 nucleotides) under uncultured Lachnospiraceae bacterium. RNAcentral describes it as "bacterial SSU rRNA". It matches the Rfam family "Bacterial small subunit ribosomal RNA", at positions 82 to 752 of the family's 1533-position model. The record is from RNAcentral. Lineage: Bacteria; Bacillati; Bacillota; Clostridia; Lachnospirales; Lachnospiraceae.